AGAGAUGUGUGAUGACGCAUAUCAAUAAGCGGAGGAAAAGAAACUAACAAGGAUUCCCUUAGUAACGGCGAGUGAAGCGGGAAGAGCUCAAAUUUGAAAUCUUCAAGGUUCUACCUUGACGAAUUGUAGUUUAAAGAAGUGUUUUCUGUUAGUGGAGUGGCAAAAGUUCUUUGGAAUAGGACAUCAUAGAGGGUGAGAAUCCCGUAUUUGGUCAUUCCUUCCAGCUGUGUGAUACACUUUCAAAGAGUCGGAUUGUUUGGGGAUGCAGUCCAAAAUGGGUGGUAAAUUUCAUCUAAAGCUAAAUAUUGGCGAGAGACCGAUAGCGAACAAGUACCGUGAGGGAAAGAUGAAAAGAACUUUGAAAAGAGAGUUAAACAGUACGUGAAAUUGUCAAAAGGGAAGCGUUUGACACCAGUGUUGUUUAGUUGAAAAUCAAUUAAAUAUUUUUCGAUUUUAAGUAGUAUUGACCUUAUCAGCUUGCUGCUUUUUUCUCGGAAAUUAUUUAAUGCACUUUUCAGUUAACAAGUCAACAUCAAUUUCUUUUGUUGUAAAAGGUAAGAGGAAGGUGGCUUGCGCUUCGGCUCAAGUGUUUAUAGCCUUUUACCCCUGCAAUCGGAGAGAUUGAGGUCUGCAGCGUAGAUCCUUCGGGGUUAGAUACAUUUGUGCUAAGUUAUAGCUUUUCAUAGACGACUUGUUGACUAUGUUAAGUCUUGUAGCUUACUCGCUUAUGCUAUUUUACCUACGCUUAGGAUGUUGAUCUGUAGUGCGUGCGC
RNAcentral lists this ribosomal RNA (773 nucleotides) under uncultured Neocallimastigales. RNAcentral describes it as "partial large subunit ribosomal RNA". It matches the Rfam family "Eukaryotic large subunit ribosomal RNA", at positions 23 to 646 of the family's 3401-position model. Lineage: Eukaryota; Fungi; Neocallimastigomycota; Neocallimastigomycetes; Neocallimastigales. The record is from RNAcentral.